UGUAUCUGGUCGUCGUCCAUCGGAAAAAAGGUGUGACGUGGAGCUGCUGUCCGGGUAUUCGGAACCGCGUGCUAUGGACGGAUCUACGCUUCAAAUAAUUCAUGAAUGAGAGUAAUGGAAAAGAUACUGAGCAACUAAUAAUGUAAUGCUUGAAAGUUGGAAGCACGGUUCGUUGGGUUUACGGGCGUGUGCUGGUCCUUCGCCGCGUGUACGUGCACGCGAAUCGUCAGAGAAAAGGUUGACGAAGGUGCGAGCAUGUGGAUGUGUUCAGGGUGAGUGCAGCUCAGGAAUUCCAUAAAAACCUUCCACUGUCUCUACGCACUUUAAAUAUAUCGAAACUGUCCACUAGGCUGAAACGCGUCUUCUUUAUCAUGCCCCGUGUUACGAAGUUACUUUCUCAUGAGAUCAGGACCUUUUACAUUAAUACGUUUCAUGAGAAAUUCAGCGAUUCGCUUUUGUCAUAUCGUACCGAUGUUAAAAAAUGAAAGAAUGCUUUUGUAUAUGAUAAGAAACUUAGAGCGGCACGUGUCCAGGGAUUAAAUUUACAUGCAAACCGUAAGGGAGAUGCCGUAUUAGAAAAUAAUGUUCGGUCGCUGGGGAGUUUGAAUAUUGUAGGGUUUCUUGGGUGGGAAAUGGUAUUUGGAUGUUUUUAGUAGUCUCUUAAAUUUAUUUAGCUUUCAAGUUCUUAUUUAUGGUUAAUUAUAUUAGUAGAAAUAUGAAUUAUUAUUGUAUUUUUGAGUAUAUACAUGUAUAUGUAUUUACAAACAAUACAUUAUUAAUAUUUAUUUAUAUUAUUGAAAAUUAUUUGGGAGAGUUUAUACUUUUUAAGAAAUUUUGUUUGUCUAUACAGCAAGCAAAAAAGUAAUGGGGAUUUCAAAAAGUUGAGUCUAAUUUUAAAGGAUGAUGCCUUGAGAAUUAUUCAUGAAACAGCCAACACUUAUCCUGUGUAAAAUAAUGGAGUAAAGAAUAAUAUAUUAUUUGAUAUAUGCUCAAUAACGUGCAGUAUUGUUAUAAUCGAUUGAUACUGUUCAAUCACAGUUAUGUUAUUACAAUUCCUAUCUUCUAUAAAGGACUUAAUUUGCAAAUUGUCAAUUGUGAUAUACAUGCUUGUCCAUUAGAUGCAAACUUUGUGGCCGUAUUGCGGAGAAACAGUGCUUAUUAAUUAUGUCAUGGUUUAUCGCCUCCAUAAUUAUAGUUCUCUGUCCAAAGAGGAUGGAUGCUUGUCUAGUAAUUAACGUUACGGUCGACGAGAGAAAAUUAUAGAUACGGGUCAUUCGAAUCAUCAAUUAUAUUGUUUAAUUAUAAUAAUAAUAUUCUAAUACUACGUUGAAUUAGUGUAUUGUGAUUAUUAUCAUCAUUGAAUUUCGUCCAGUCGUGUUUCUGUUUUAACAAACGUACAUGACUUUCUCACUACAUAUGAUACAAGUUUUAAAUGGAAUGUAUUAAAAGUUUGAUAAAUUAGUAAGACGUUAAAAUAUCAUAUAAAGAAGACACUAAUUCUGUUCCAAAUUCUACGUGAAUGUAUACCUUUUAAAAAAUAAAAGACUGUUACAUCCUAGAA
Bombus pascuorum is the source of this 1561-nucleotide long non-coding RNA. RefSeq lists it as uncharacterized. NCBI's taxonomy places the organism in Eukaryota, Metazoa, Arthropoda, Insecta, Hymenoptera, Apidae. The transcript is spliced from 2 exons. The record is from RefSeq and is a predicted model, not a curated record.